GACGAACGCUGGCGGCGUGCUUAAUACAUGCAAGUCGAGCGGACAGGCCCUGCUCUUGUGGGUCUCUCGAUUGGCGCACGGGUGUGUAUAACGUGAGUAAACCGCCCUUGUCUUUCGGAUAUCUUUACGAAACUCCGGCUCAUACCCGAUAGGAUCUCCUGCAGCAUGGUGGGGGUUGGAAAGUUUCGGCGGUUGGGGAUGGACUCGCGGCAUAUCCGCUUGUUGGUGUGGUAGUGACUUACAAGGGCUACGACGGCUAGCCGGCCUGAGAGGGUGACCGGCCACAUGGGUACUGAGGGACGGCGCAGACGGCUACGGGAGGCAGUAGGGGAGAAUAUGGCGCAAUGGGCGGGAGCCAGAGGCAGCGACGUCGCGUGCGUGAUAACCGCCUUCGGGGGGUGAACCGCUGUCGCCGUUGACGAGGCGUGAGUGACGGUAAUGAGUAAAGAAGCACCGGCUAACUACGUG
This 468-nucleotide ribosomal RNA is filed under the name uncultured bacterium. RNAcentral's name for it is "partial 16S ribosomal RNA". It matches the Rfam family "Bacterial small subunit ribosomal RNA", at positions 28 to 507 of the family's 1533-position model. The record is from RNAcentral.